AUUUAGUUGAUUUAAAGGCCGCAUAAUGAUGUCCAAAAAUCCUCUGGUGUUGUCCGUGGUUGUCGUGGCACUGUUUGGUGUCAGUGUGUUCUGCAAGUGUCAAGAUGACCCGACUGGAUUUUGUGUCGCCCAAGCACUGCUCCACCCGAUUAAGUCCGUGCGGUGUUUUGUGAACGCAAGCACACCGUUUCUAAAUGUUACAAACUCGCAUUUUAAUGAACUUAGCAAGUGCAGCAAGGAACUUGCACCUAAUCCGGCCACUAGGGAUUUUAUAGGUCUCGUUGAAAACAUCCUAAGUGUUUUGAAUAAUAUUAUUAAUUCUUGCGGCAAAAAACCAAAUGGCGAACUUGCAGCUGGUUUCUGGUGUGGCACGAGGUCUGUGUAUAAAUACAUCAAGUUGCGAAAGUUGCUUAAGAAGGCGGAAAAAGCUGCCGCAAGUAUUGAACAAUUCAAUAGUUGCGUUUCAAAACAUAUUUCAAGCUAUGUACAAGAGUUUCCCAAAUUUCGACUUGCCGUAAAUUAUUGUAUUUUCCAUAAAGCACAAAAAGAGUAAUUAAGAAAUUUGCUCGAAUAUAAUAAAAAUGUAUACCAUACAUAUGAAUACUACCUGCUCAUUUAUUAUUUCGCAUAUGAUCGACUCAAUGUGUACAACGAAUUGUAUCCCAAAGAUACACAAACGCCUAUUUCUCAAUUGCACAUAUAUGAUAUAUAUAUUAACUAAUUUCGAUUGGGACUGGCCGCAAGCAAAAGUGGGCAGCCACAUAGCUUUUCUCAUACAUUUACUAAUAUACAUAUCCACAAACAUUUUUACAAAAUUGUUGUAAACUGUUUUUAUUAAGGGUUGUUUAUUUCAAUAUAAUAAAUUUAUAUUAAUUUAGUUUCAUUUCACCUUCAUGGUGACUUAUGUGUUACCGUUCAUAAUUUUAUCAGUUGAGCUUUUUAACUUUGUCUAAUACAAACUUAUUAUCCAUGGAAUAAGUUGGCUCUAUGAGUAGAAGCCGAUUGCCACCUAUCGAUAAAGGCUGAUUUUUGUUAUCAAAAAAUCCUCUAGUGUUGUCCAUGUGUGUGCCAGCAGCUGUGAAGAGAGCCCGACUGUAUAUUGAAUCAUCAAACCAGUGCAGCAGGGAAUUUCCACCCAAUCCGACCGCUAAAGAUUUUAUAGGUCUCCUAAGAGCUAAGAGCGAAAAGGCUGUGUAUAGCUGUGUAUGUCAAGCCGCGAAAGUUGCUUAAGAAGGUGGAAGAAGCUGCCAUAAAGUUUGAACAUUUCAAUAGUUGCAUAGCAAGUAAUGUUACAAGCUAUGUACGGCACUUUCCACAAUUUCAACGUGACUUGAAUUAUUGUAUUUUUCAUAAAUCAUAAAAAGAGUAAUUGAGAAAUUUAGUAGAAUAUAUUAAAAAUCUAUACCAUACAUAUGAA
Molecule: long non-coding RNA, 1417 nt
Organism: Drosophila mojavensis
Lineage: Eukaryota; Metazoa; Arthropoda; Insecta; Diptera; Drosophilidae
Exons: 2
Source: RefSeq, a predicted model, not a curated record